CAGAAAAAACAAUGGUUGCCAAGGGAGCAUUAGCUACGGUACCCAGAGAUAAAUGCUGGAAUGGAGGAAAGUGGGAAUCAGAUGGCAAGAUACAGAAAGGUUCUCAGAGUGUUGUGCAUCUGUGUGAAAAUCUAAAAGAAAAAAAACUGGGAUGAGGAUUUAGGAAUAAGGGAAGAUGGACCUCUCAGGUAUAAUGGGAAAGCAAGCAGUGCUGGUCUCCAUGGUUGA
RNAcentral lists this long non-coding RNA (228 nucleotides) under Homo sapiens (human). RNAcentral's name for it is "HSALNT0020147". The record is from RNAcentral. Lineage: Eukaryota; Metazoa; Chordata; Mammalia; Primates; Hominidae.